AAAGAAAUUGAAGCUAAUCACCUGCAUGUUCACCCCAAACCUAACCAUCUUAGCAUUCUUAACAUAAGGGAUUAAAAGAAGAAAGCUCAAGUCAUUCCGGAACGCAAAACAAACCACAACAAAGGUAAAGGAACUUGUUAGCGGCGCUACUUGGAUCGAACACACUCAUGAUGCACGCUUCCGCGAAGAUCCUAGUUUGGUUUAAAUUUUUUUUUUUUGGUUAAACGUUUUUGUUAAAACGGGUCUUUUG
Long non-coding RNA from Helianthus annuus (common sunflower), 250 nucleotides. RefSeq lists it as uncharacterized. The record is from RefSeq and is a predicted model, not a curated record. The transcript is spliced from 3 exons. NCBI's taxonomy places the organism in Eukaryota, Viridiplantae, Streptophyta, Magnoliopsida, Asterales, Asteraceae.